Molecule: ribosomal RNA, 1295 nt
Filed under: Plasmodium berghei
Lineage: Eukaryota; Apicomplexa; Aconoidasida; Haemosporida; Plasmodiidae
Description: eukaryotic LSU rRNA
Rfam family: Eukaryotic large subunit ribosomal RNA
Source: RNAcentral
AUAACUUAUGAUGGGAGAGCAAAUCCGCCGAAUUUAAGCAUAUAAUUAAGCGGAAGAAAAGAAAAUAACAAUGAUUCCCUAAGUAACGGCGAGUGAACAGGGAAAAGCUCAAAAAGGAAAAUCCUAUUCAUGGCGCAAGUCAUGUUAUGGAAUUGUCUGGUUGGAGUUUCGUCCUUUUCUAUAUUUAUGUUGGAUUGCGAAAUGAGUAGGAAUACUAUUCCUUAGAGGGUGAAAGACCCGUAGCCCCCCACAAUUGUAGAAAAUGAUGAUUCUCUGUAGAGUCGUGUUCUUUGAGAUUGGAGCACAAAUAUGUGUGAUACAUUUCACAUAAAGCUAAAUAUUUGUAGGAAACCGAUAGUAUACAAGUACCGUGAGGGAAAGAUGAAAUAGUACUCAGGAAUGAGGUUUAAAUAGUACCUGAAAUCGUUAAGAUGGAACGGAUUAAGAGAGAAAUAACGUAAGAUGGGAUUAAUUAUUAGCUCUUUAGGGAGCGUUUUUUAAUUCCUAUUUUAUUAAAAGAAGCAUCAGUGAAUGUUGAAUAAUUAAAAUAUAGUUAAGUAUUCUUUACAAAUAUAAAUAUGUGCGUAAAAAUGCCGUAUCACUUCCGCUAAAUUGGUUGGAUAACGAGCUAUUUUUGAUUAUUCUGUUUACUGAGGUUUAUUAAAAUCAUUGUGGCCUUUGUCCCUAUUGAUUUAAGUUGCUUCUAAAAAGCACUUUCUUAACCCACUCGUCUUGAAACACGGACCAAGGAGUCUAACAAAUGUGCGAGCGUAUAUAUGUUUUUAACUAUAAUAAAAGAAUGAAAAUUCUUUAAUAUUUACGCGUAAUUAAUGUAAUAUAUUAAACUUACAUUGUAGAAUGUACUGAAAUUGAAUAAUAUUUAUUUUUCAUUUGAAGUAUAUGCAUACAAUACCGGUUAGCAAAUAUGCUAAAUUGAGUAAGAGUAUAUUUGUUAGGACCCGAGAGGCUUUGAACUAAGCGUGGUGAGAUUGAAGUCAGACGAAAGUCUGAUGGAGGAUCGAAUUGAUACUGACGUGCAAAUCGUUCAUUUCAAUCACGUUUAGGGGCGAAAGACUAAUCGAAAAGCCUAUUAGCUGGUUAUUUUCGAAAGAUCUCUCAGGAUCGCUGGAGUUGAUUAAUAUAGUUUUACGAGGUAGAGAUAAUGAUUAGAGGAUUCAGGGAAAUCGUUUUCCUUGGCCUAUUCUCAAACUCCCAAUACGUAAUAAGGGAUUAAUAUCUUUAUUGUAUUUUUCCCACUAUAAAUAAGAUAACUCCAAGUGGGCCAUUUUUGGUAA